UGGCGGCGUGCCUAAUACAUGCAAGUCGAACGAACUGUGGAAAGACUUGCUUUCAGAGUUAGUGGCGAACGGGUGAGUAACACGUAAGUAACCUAGCUAUUAGACGAGGAUAACUACUGGAAACGGUAGCUAAGACUGGAUAUGAUAGAAAUAUUUAAAGGAAUGCUAAGGCAUCGCUAAUAGAGGGGCUUGCGGCGCAUUAGCUAGUUGGUAGGGUAAAAGCCAACCAAGGCGAUGAUGCGUAGCCGACCUGAGAGGGUGACCGGCCACACUGGGACUGAGACACGGCCCAGACUCCUACGGGAGGCAGCAGUAGGGAAUCUUCGGCAAUGGACGAAAGUCUGACCGAGCAACGCCGCCGUGAGUGAAGAAAGUUUUCGGAUUGUAAAGCUCUGUUAUUAGGGAAGAAAGGCUCUAGGAGGAAAUGCUUAGGGAUUGACGGUACCUAAUGAGGAAGCCACGGCUAACUACGUGCCAGCCGCCGC
Molecule: ribosomal RNA, 485 nt
Filed under: uncultured bacterium
Lineage: Bacteria
Description: bacterial SSU rRNA
Rfam family: Bacterial small subunit ribosomal RNA
Source: RNAcentral